AAUGCAGUUUGUGCAUGCUUGAACAUGUGUGUGUGUAUGUGUGUGUUAUUACUUCCCUCCUGAAUCAUUUUCUCUCCGGGAUGUGCCGAGGACAGCGGUUCAGACAGUUUGAUUGGUGAAGCUUGAAAAAGAUUGAAUCUGGAAAAGGAAAUGCACCUGAGCCUGGUGGGAUGACGUCGACAAAAACCCUGAGAUUUCAAAGUGUCUUUGCUGAGAGAGAGCACAGAUGCUUUAUGCAGCUGGCAAGACGUGGGAUUUGUGCCGUUCUCACCACAACAUAGUCGCUCCCUAUCUUCCUUUUACUCCAUUGAUCUUCCUUAAUCGUCACCUCACUAAAUACCGAGGACUACAUUCAACUCCCUGUAGCAGUGGAGCCACUGGGGACUGAUGAAUCAUUUCGAGGAGCUCAUUACUCUUUCAUGGACAGCUCUCACUACUCGGCACGUAUACGCACAGGACUCUCACUCACUCGCUCAUAAGGUCACCAUUAAUUAAGCCUUUCACACAUGUGAGGAGGAUGAUGGAUGUUAAUCAUUACCUCAGCAAACAUGUUGUGUUGUGGACACCAGUAAAGGGCUUUACUGGAAUCUGAUACUCUUUGAUCCAAAGGAAUUCAUGUAUUUUUUGUGUUGCCGCUGUAAUAAACAAAAAGGGAGCGGA
Molecule: long non-coding RNA, 660 nt
Organism: Solea senegalensis (Senegalese sole)
Lineage: Eukaryota; Metazoa; Chordata; Actinopteri; Pleuronectiformes; Soleidae
Exons: 3
Source: RefSeq, a predicted model, not a curated record